This is a long non-coding RNA of Zingiber officinale, 810 nucleotides long. RefSeq lists it as uncharacterized. The record is from RefSeq and is a predicted model, not a curated record. The transcript is spliced from 3 exons. Lineage: Eukaryota; Viridiplantae; Streptophyta; Magnoliopsida; Zingiberales; Zingiberaceae.
CUCAUCGCGACCAAGUUGGCUGCUUGCGUGGCGAUGCCCACCUCAGCGCGAAGCCCGUGCCCUAACUUUUUCUCCUCCCCCUUUCUCUUGCGCGAAGCCCGUCGCAUCCUCUCCUGCACUAACUCAGCUCCUCCUCCUUCCUCUUUCGCGAUUCUCCUUCGCGAAGCUCCCGAGCCGCUUCUGAGUUCCCUUUCGAGAAGAGAGAAGCGAAGCCCAUCGCUUCCUCCCCUGCCCUAACUCAAUUCCUCCUCCUCCUCCCUCUUUCGCGAGCGUUUCUGAGUUCCCCUUCGAGAAGAGAGAAGCGAAGUACGUCCCCUUCGCGCCCUAACUUCUUCGGCCACAGCCUCGCGUUCUCCUUCCUCUUACUCCCACACCAGCAGACAAGGAGCAAUUUGAGUUUGAGCACCAACCAGCAAGUUAUAGCACAUCAAGUUUUGUGUGAAAUCAGGCUUCGCUCUACUUUGUCGGUCGCAACUUCGCUUGCUGUCCUGAGUAAAGUUCUGCUGGAGCUUCUAUGAUAUAUGAGGGUUGAACCUGCUGCAGGGAGUUACUGGGUCUGAAGAUUUUUCUGAAGUUGUUGUCUGACCUGCAUAUGUAACUGGAGCCUAGUUCAUUGUUGUUUUUUUUUUUUUGCAUAAUUGUUGAGCUCGUAUGUAUAUGUAUCUGGAGUCUUUUUAGAUUUGGAGUUACUUUGAUGGAAUUGGCAUAGCUUACUUGUAAUGUGAAAGUGUUAUUCUAGCUUCUAUCUAGAGUCUAUGGAAGUGUUAUUCUAGCUUAAUUUGGAGUUACAUUAAAUAAAUCUUUAUUCUG